Molecule: ribosomal RNA, 623 nt
Filed under: uncultured archaeon
Lineage: Archaea
Description: bacterial SSU rRNA
Rfam family: Archaeal small subunit ribosomal RNA
Source: RNAcentral
AUAAUACUCCAUAGAUUAGAGACACUGGAAUGUUCUUUAGUCGAAAGUUCUGGCGCCUUAGGAUGGAUCUGCGGUCGAUUAGGUUGUUGUUGGGGUAACGGCCCAACAAGCCUGUAAUCGAUACGGGUUGUGGGAGCAAGAGCCCGGAGAUGGAAUCUGAGACACGAUUCCAGGCCCUACGGGGCGCAGCAGGCGCGAAAACUUUACAAUGCAGGAAACUGUGAUAAGGGAACUCCGAGUGCCCGUAUACGCGGGCUGUCCAGGUGUUUAAAAAUCAUCUGAAGAAAGGGCCGGGCAAGACCGGUGCCAGCCGCCGCGGUAAUACCGGCGGCUCGAGUGGUGGCCACUAUUAUUGGGCUUAAAGCGUCCGUAGCUGGACCGAUAAGUCUCUUGGGAAAUCCGCCGGCUCAACCGGCGGGCGUCUAAGGGAUACUGUUAGUCUAGGGACCGGGAGAGGUGAGAGGUACUCCGGGGGUAGGAGUGAAAUCCUGUAAUCCCCGGGGGACCACCGAUGGCGAAGGCAUCUCACCAGAACAGCUCCGACAGUGAGGGACGAAAGCUGGGGGAGCGAACCGGAUUAGAUACCCGGGUAGUCCCAGCCAUAAACUAUGCGCGUUAGGUGU